This 253-nucleotide ribosomal RNA is filed under the name uncultured bacterium. RNAcentral's name for it is "partial 16S ribosomal RNA". It matches the Rfam family "Bacterial small subunit ribosomal RNA", at positions 524 to 776 of the family's 1533-position model. The record is from RNAcentral.
UACGUAGGAGACGAGCGUUGUCCGGAAUCACUGGGCGUAAAGGGCGCGUAGGCGGCCACGCACGUCCGUUGUGAAAUCGCCCGGCUCAACUGGGCGGGGUCGGCGGAUACGGCGUGGCUGGAGCAAGCUAGGGGGCAAUGGAAUUCCCGGUGUAGUGGUGGAAUGCGUAGAUAUCGGGAGGAACACCUGUGGCGAAAGCGGCGCACUGGACCACAACUGACGCUGAGGCGCGAAAGCUAGGGGAGCAAACAGG